GGGUAAUGCACCUGAAAGAAAUCAUAAAAUUCAUCCAUAUCAUAAUAGUUAUUGUGUGCAUAACAAUUUUAAUAAAUGCAGGCAUUUGAUAUGUAGACCUUUACUCAAAUAGUUAUUGUGUGCAUAAAAAUUUUAAAUAAUACAAGAAAAAUAUGUACUAAUUUUCAGCAAUAGUUAUGUGUCUCUGUCUCUAUCUAAAAUUACAGUAGUAAUAAGAGCAACAGUUAUGUGUCUCUAUCUAAAAUUACAAAAGGAAUAAGAACAAAUAAGAACAAAAGCCUAUUCUGAGAAAAAUCAGCAUAAAUAUCAAUUAACAAACAAAUUUUCUGAGCAAAAACCUAUCCUUGAACAAAAACCUCUUCUGAGCAAAAAAACCUAUUAUGAGCAAAUAACCUAUUCUUUAAUAAACAAAUAUUCUGAGGUCAUGGACCUCCAAAUCCUAUUAUCUUGCGAUGAUGCUUUUUUCCCCUGAUUUUCUUAUUUCAUUUACUCCAAAAAUAAUGGAUGUGAAAACAAUUGGUUAAACUAUUUUAAUAUUAUAGACCACCCAAGGGAUCCUUGGUUCACCUGACAAAUUGGAAUUUAAGCAUUAAGUAUGAUGCUUUUUACAUUUGGGUGAGUUGGAAACAUAAAAUGGAUCUCAUUUACUGAGGCUGGAUCGGUUGCUUAUUGGCAUUUGGUUAUUUGCAAUGGAUCUAUGAUUAACAUAACCAACUUCUCUGUUUUGUUUGUCUUCUAUAUGUACAUAUGGAUUUAUGGUUUUUCUUUUUCUUUAAUCACAUGCUUAUAGGAUUUGGCAUGUCUUGGAUAUCGGAAUUAUUGAUUGACAUAUUUGAAUAUAAUUUCAAUCAUCCUAAUAGCUUUGCAUUUUACUUGUGAGCUGUUAGGCAGUAAAAAUCUCCUUGUUUUUUUAUAACAACUAGCAUGCUUGAUAUAAUGUGUGUUGAAAUAUAUUGUUACCGCCUUGUACAAAUAAAACAUCAUACUGCGGGUUUAUAAUGUACAGGACUAGUAGAGAUGUUUAUUGUUCAGAAAAUGAGAAAUUUGUCAGAAAGAACUCAUAGUCCUAAAUAAGCGCCUCUUAGAAGCUUUGAUGCCUCAUCCUGGAAGUCCUGAAGCAUAUUCAAGCAGGGCACUUUUGUGACUGGGACUUUUGACCUUCGCAUUGUCAUUUUAUGAAGCCAAGCAUUGUAAUUUAAGAGAUAUAACCUAAGCUGACUGGCCUUUGGACAUAUCUUUGCUUAGAAGAGGAGGGAGAUUGGGAAAAUUUGACAUCAUUCCGAAUAGAAAAGGCAAAAAAAACAAGGGUAUGAUGGACGGGGGAAUACGUAUUGUCCUAGUGAUGAUGAGAUGGAUGAAGCUAACAAUAAGUACUAUAACAUAGAAAGUGCCAACCAUUAGCCAUAAAGAAGGAAAAUAAUUAGUGGCAUUAAGAAAUAUUUUUAUUUCCAUUAGUUAUGUAUUAUAGACUUGGGGUAGGAUGUGAGUGUGGAAAUGAGCUCCUGAUAUCUGAUUAAGCUUUUGGAUGAUAGGAGAGCCAAAUUUUUAUUUACAGGGUGGAGAAAGUGUUGUGUUCCCUAUAUUGAGAAGGGGUUAUUCCUUGCUUUUCAGAAGCUGGCUUCCAUUGCAUAUAUGUCUUUAUGAAUUGUGGCUGGAGAUUAUGGGGUAGAUGAAAGUGGAAGGUUUCUUAGAUCUCAUCAGACAAAAGGGGGAAUUCUCUGGUGCAUGGAAUGGAUAAAUAGACUGUUGUUUAGGCUUCAUGUGCAGAGUAAGAAUGCAAGUCAUUGGUGAAAAAACAUACUUUCGAAAGGGCCUAUGGUUGGGCUACACUACAUUAAAAAAGAAUACUCCAUAAGCAUAGUGGAUUCAAGGCUGAAGUAAUAGUGGCAGAGGUGGUGGAAGAGAGGGGCUGCAAGCUAUAUUUGAAUCCCUUGCUUCAGAAGGGCAUCAAAGGACGAUGAAAUAGAGACAUGACAAAAAAGCUACAACAUGAGCUUCACUGGUUAUUUUCUUGCAAUAAAAAUAAGUUUGAUUGAUUUGGAUUCCAAUAGUAAAGUUGUUUUGUAGUGAUAUUGGGGUUUUUGCAACACUCUAUAAAUCUCAAAAAAUACAAGGAGAGAGAGUACCUUUACAGAUGGGGUGGGCUGCAGAGAGGUACAGUGAAGAGAGCUGCAAGCGGCUUCUCUCGGCGAGCAGCAAGUGGGCACGAGCAGCGAGAGGGCGAGAUCAGUGAGAGGGCGCAAGCAGAGAGAGAGAGCAAGAGGCACAGAGAGAGUGCCUCUAGUUUUUAAGAAGUAAGAGGAAGAGAGAAAAAAGGAAGAGAGAGAGAGAGAGAGCGAGAGGCAGAGAGGGCACGAGUAGCGAGAGGGUGAGAGGUCAAGAGCAGUGACAGGGCGCGGCGUGAGAAGAGAGAAAGAGAAGGGUGCAAGAAGAGAGAGAACGAGCGAGAUGCAAAGAGAGCGUGUCUGGUUUUUGGGAAGUUGGAGAGAGCGAGAGCAAGAUGCUGAGAAAGAGAGCACGUCUGGUUUUUGAGAUGUAGGAGAGAGAAAAACCCAGGAGAUAGAGAGAGCGUGAGGUAGAGAGAGAGUGCAGUGCCUUUUUGGGAAGUAAGAGAGAGAAACUCUAGGAGAGAGAGAGAGAGGCAC
RNAcentral lists this long non-coding RNA (2645 nucleotides) under Amborella trichopoda. RNAcentral describes it as "long non-coding RNA (ATRI_LNC005054)". The record is from RNAcentral. Lineage: Eukaryota; Viridiplantae; Streptophyta; Magnoliopsida; Amborellales; Amborellaceae.